RNAcentral lists this ribosomal RNA (262 nucleotides) under uncultured prokaryote. RNAcentral's name for it is "partial 16S ribosomal RNA". It matches the Rfam family "Bacterial small subunit ribosomal RNA", at positions 505 to 766 of the family's 1533-position model. The record is from RNAcentral.
GUGCCAGCAGCCGCGGUAAUACGUUGGGUGCAAGCGUUAAUCGGUAUUACUGGGCGUAAAGCCCGCGUGGGUGGUUCGUUAAGUUGGAUGUGAAAGCCCCGGGCUCAACCUGGGAACUGCAUCCAAAAUUGGCGAGCUAGAGUAUGGCAGAGGGUGGUGGAAUUUCCUGUGUAGCGGUGAAAUGCGUAGAUAUAGGAAGGAACACCAGUGGCGAAGGCGACCACCUGGGCUAAUACUGACACUGAGGUGCGAAAGCGUGGGG